This 229-nucleotide unclassified non-coding RNA is filed under the name Hevea brasiliensis (rubber tree). Lineage: Eukaryota; Viridiplantae; Streptophyta; Magnoliopsida; Malpighiales; Euphorbiaceae. The record is from RNAcentral.
GAGCUGCUGAAGAUGGAGAUGGAGAUGGAAAUGAGAGCUGGUGAAGACAUAGGAAUCGGCGAAGACAUAACCCCACCACUCUCUCCACUCUCUUUCUCUCUCUACGACUCCUUUCUUCACUCCCACUGCUCUUCUUGCUUCUGCCCACUCCCUAAUCGCCCUUCACAUCCCACCCCCAUUCCCCACUCUCUCCUCUACUGUUCCCCUCUCUGCUCCUCCUCCAACUCCC